This 709-nucleotide ribosomal RNA is filed under the name uncultured bacterium. RNAcentral's name for it is "bacterial SSU rRNA". It matches the Rfam family "Bacterial small subunit ribosomal RNA", at positions 1 to 738 of the family's 1533-position model. The record is from RNAcentral.
GCCCUUAGAGUUUGAUCCUGGCUCAGGAUGAACGCUGGCGGAGUGCCUUAAGCAUGCAAGUGGAACGGUUUUUUAGCCGCAAGGUUGGAAGACAGUCGCGGACGGGUGAGUAAUACAUAGGAAUCUACCUUUUGGUGGGGAAUAACGGUUCGAAAGGACCGCUAAUACCGCAUAAUAUCGCAAGAUAAAAGGCCAUAACUGGCCGCCGAUUGAGGAGCCUAUGUCCUAUCAGCUAGUUGGUGGGGUAAAAGCCUACCAAGGCGAUGACGGGUAGCUGGUCUGAGAGGAUGGUCAGCCACAAUAGCACUGAGACACGGGCUAUACACCUACGGGUGGCAGCAACUGGGAAUAUUGCACAAUGGACGAAAGUCUGAUGCAGCGACUCCGCGUGAGGGAUGAAGGUCUUAGGAUCGUAAACCUCUUUUGACAGGGAAGCGUUUGCCGCAAGGCAAGCGGACGGUACCUGUAGAAUAAGCACCUGCUAACCACGUGCCAGCAGCCGCGGUAAUACGUGGGGUGCAAGCGUUAUCCGGAUUUAUUGGGCGUAAAGAGUUCGUAGGCGUUUUGCCAAGUUUCGUUUGAAGCCCGAGGCUCACCUCGGACCCGGACGAAAAACUGGCAGAUUGAGUCAUCUAGGGGUACUGGAACUCAUAGUGUAGCAGUGAAUGCGUGAUAUAUGAGGACACAAGGCGAAGCAGUACUGGGGUGA